UCAAUAAUCAAUUACGACCAUGCUUCAAUUGUUAUUGACAUAAUAUAUAUAUAAACGUACAAGUAUAUAUUUAAUUUAAUAAUAAAGAAUCACUUAUCUCCUUCGGUGAAUCGGUGAUUUUAAAUCGACACUAGAACAAGUGUCUUGUUUCCCACAGACGGCGCCAAUGUUAACGCCUGAUUUUGUACGCCUGACGAAAUCACCAAAACAGCAGGCCAAAAUAGCGCCAACGGUUGAUGGAGUAAUUGUUGUGAAAGCAAACUCACGAAAUACACUCGCAUAAACAUAAAUAAAAAAAUAUAAAAUAUGAACACAAGAAUUUACGUGAAACCCCAAUUGGGAAAAAACCACGGAGAGAGAGAGAAAUCCACUAUAAUAAUAUUGGGAGUACAAGUUGUGUAUUUGUGUUGUAUCUCUUGUGUCCUUUCAAAUCCUAGCUUGUAACCGUAUAUAUAGAAGUCACCUUCAUCCGUAUCCAACUAGGAGAAGGACUCCUUUUGUAGAAUCACCUUAUAACUCCUGAAUCCAAUUAGGAGUAGGAGUCCUAAUUAAACCUCCUUAUCCCACCAAAUAAGAAAAUACAAUCCUAUUUUAAUAAGAGCUCUCCAAAUAAUCACAUCCCAACAUUGCCCCCCAGUCUCUUAUUUAUAAAGAACUUAUAAUAAGAAAGUAUACAAAUUUUGUCACACCCAAACACCAUACGCCAAACAGAAACUUGUGGCUCUCAAUAUUUUCGCCCCACUCCUCAAUUCAUUUCUAAGAUAUACAUAAAGAUCCGCAAGCCACGACUCAUGUGCCACGUGUCACGAGCCACGAACCACGAGCCACGUACUUUGAGACACGAGCCACGUGCUUUGAGCUAUGAACCACGAGCAACGAGCCAAGUGCUUCGAGCCACGAGCUUCGUGCUUUGAGCUACGAGCCACGUGCUUUGAGCCACGAGCCACGAGCAACGAGCCAAGUGCUUCGAGCCAUGAGCUUCAUGCUUUGAGUCACAAACCUCGUGCUUUUAGCCGCGAGCUACAUGCUUUGAGUCACAUGACACGAGCCACGAGGGUUUAAAACAUGUCUUGGCUAGAUCUUCUCCGUUUCAAUUUCCCUUUUUCUUCUUGUAAGAUCUCGACUUUUUUCAGAAUGCUUAGAAUCUUCGAUUGCUCAAGUUCGGCACUGCUCAN
RNAcentral lists this long non-coding RNA (1175 nucleotides) under Panax ginseng (ginseng). Its description in RNAcentral is "long non-coding RNA (PGIN_LNC018097)". Lineage: Eukaryota; Viridiplantae; Streptophyta; Magnoliopsida; Apiales; Araliaceae. The record is from RNAcentral.